UUGACGGUACCCUACUAGAAAGGAGCCGCUAACUUCGUGCCAGAAGCGUCGGUAAUACGGGGGCUCCAAGCGUUAUCCGGUGUUAUUGGGCGUAAAGAGUCGUGUAGGUGGUUGGGUAAGUUAUCUUUCAAAUAUCUUUGCUUAACAAAGAGGAGGGGGAUAAUACUGCUCGACUAGAAUUUUCUCAAGGGAGAUCGGAACUGAGGGAGGAGUAGUGAAAUGCGUUGAUACCCUCGGGAACACCAGUGGCGUAGGCGGAUCUCUGGGAGAAGAUUGACGCUGAGACACGAAAGCUAGGGGAGCGAAGCAGAUUAGAGACCUGCGUAGUCCUGGCCGUAAACGCAUGCUUGCUAGCUGCAUGAAUCUACCUUCGGGUGGUAUCGUGUGGCGAAGGUAACCCGUUAAGCAAGCCGCCUGGAAAGUACGGCCGCAAGGCUGAAAUCCAAGGGAAUUGGCGGGGAGGCACACAACCAGUGGAACAUGUGGUUUAAUUCGAGACUAACCGAAGAACCUCACCAGGGUUUGACAUGUAGCUGCACGUCUUAAGAAAUUAAGACUCUCUUGAAGGUGCUACACAGGUGCUGCAUGGCUGUCGUCAGCUCGUUCCGUGAGGAGUGCCCUUAAGUGGGACAACGAGCGCAACCCCUAUUACAUGUUAGAAAUGUCAUGUAAGACUGCCUUGCCAUUUGGCGGGGAGGAAGGAGGGGCAGACGUCAAGUCCGCAUGGUCCUUAUGCCCUGGGCUACACACAUGUUACAAUGAGUACGGCAAUGAGUCUGUCGCGAGCACGUAAGUGUAAGCUAAUCUCUUAAAUGUACUCUCAGUGGGGAUUGAGGUCUGCA
RNAcentral lists this ribosomal RNA (842 nucleotides) under uncultured organism. Its description in RNAcentral is "bacterial SSU rRNA". It matches the Rfam family "Bacterial small subunit ribosomal RNA", at positions 469 to 1309 of the family's 1533-position model. The record is from RNAcentral.